RNAcentral lists this ribosomal RNA (253 nucleotides) under uncultured bacterium. RNAcentral's name for it is "partial 16S ribosomal RNA". It matches the Rfam family "Bacterial small subunit ribosomal RNA", at positions 524 to 776 of the family's 1533-position model. The record is from RNAcentral.
UACGGAGGAUCCAAGCGUUAUCCGGAAUCAUUGGGUUUAAAGGGUCCGUAGGUGGACAAUUAAGUCAGAGGUGAAAGUUUGCAGCUCAACUGUAAAAUUGCCUUUGAUACUGGUUGUCUUGAAUUACUAUGAAGUGGUUAGAAUAAGUAGUGUAGCGGUGAAAUGCAUAGAUAUUACUUAGAAUACCGAUUGCGAAGGCAGAUCACUAAUAGUAUAUUGACACUGAUGGACGAAAGCGUGGGUAGCGAACGGG